GGAGAGAUGGCUGAGUGGCUGAAGGCGCACGCCUGGAAAGUGUGUUUAGGUUAAUCCCUAACGAGGGUUCGAAUCCCUCUCUCUCCGCCA
RNAcentral lists this transfer RNA (90 nucleotides) under Rheinheimera baltica. Its description in RNAcentral is "tRNA-Ser". It matches the Rfam family "tRNA". Rfam says of the family: Transfer RNA (tRNA) molecules are approximately 80 nucleotides in length. Their secondary structure includes four short double-helical elements and three loops (D, anti-codon, and T loops). The record is from RNAcentral. Lineage: Bacteria; Pseudomonadati; Pseudomonadota; Gammaproteobacteria; Chromatiales; Chromatiaceae. RNAcentral also lists the same sequence under 16 other names.